UACGUAGGGCGCAAGCGUUGUCCGGAAUUAUUGGGCGUAAAGAGCUCGUAGGCGGUUUGUCGCGUCUGCUGUGAAAACCUAAGGCUCAACCUUGGGCUUGCAGUGGGUACGGGCAGACUAGAGUGCGGUAGGGGUGACUGGAAUUCCUGGUGUAGCGGUGGAAUGCGCAGAUAUCAGGAGGAACACCGAUGGCGAAGGCAGGUCUCUGG
This 209-nucleotide ribosomal RNA is filed under the name uncultured bacterium. RNAcentral's name for it is "partial 16S ribosomal RNA". It matches the Rfam family "Bacterial small subunit ribosomal RNA", at positions 524 to 732 of the family's 1533-position model. The record is from RNAcentral.